RNAcentral lists this long non-coding RNA (487 nucleotides) under Rattus norvegicus (Norway rat). RNAcentral's name for it is "long non-coding RNA NONRATT025162". Lineage: Eukaryota; Metazoa; Chordata; Mammalia; Rodentia; Muridae. The record is from RNAcentral.
CUCUGAGAGGCUCCACCCAACAGCUGACUGAAACAGAUGCGGAGAUUCACACCUGACCAUUAGAUGGAGCUCGGGGAGUCUUGUAGAAGAGGUGAGGAAAGGACUGAUGUACCAGAAGAAGACAGAGACUUCAAGGGAAGACCAUGAGUCAACUAACCUGGACCCUUGAGGGCUUCCAGAGACUGAACCACCAACCAAAGAUAGAUCCUGGGCCGGACCUAGCACUGCUACACAUAUGUAGCAGAUGUGCAGUGAAAACAAAUCUCAAGAAACUGAAGAGAGGAAUUCCACUCCUCCAAAAAUUUUCUAUAAAGCACAAACAGGAAUGUCAUGGCUAAUGAGACAAGAUGGAAAGGACUUUCACUGAGCUGAAGAAAGAAACAGAAAGGCCUGCCAUGCCCACUUCUACUGAGCAUAUUUUAAAUCCUAACCAGUGGGGGAAAAAUAAAGGAUUCCAAAGAAAGAAACCUGUAAACACAGUUACAUG